CAGCAGCAGCCGCGGUAACACGGAGGGUGCAAGCGUUAAUCGGAAUUACUGGGCGUAAAGCGCACGCAGGCGGUCUGACAAGUCAGAUGUGAAAUCCCCGGGCUUAACCUGGGAACUGCAUUUGAAACUGUCAGGCUGGAGUCUUGUAGAGGGGGGUGGAAUUCCAGGUGUAGCGGUGAAAUGCGUAGAGAUCUGGAGGAAUACCGGUGGCGAAGGCGGCCCCCUGGACAAAGACUGACGCUCAGGUGCGAAAGCGUGGGGAGCAAACAGGAUUAGAUACCCCGGUAGUCCCUGUCUCUUAUAC
RNAcentral lists this ribosomal RNA (304 nucleotides) under uncultured bacterium. RNAcentral's name for it is "partial 16S ribosomal RNA". It matches the Rfam family "Bacterial small subunit ribosomal RNA", at positions 506 to 807 of the family's 1533-position model. The record is from RNAcentral.